This is a non-coding RNA of Paramuricea clavata, 751 nucleotides long. NCBI's taxonomy places the organism in Eukaryota, Metazoa, Cnidaria, Anthozoa, Malacalcyonacea, Plexauridae. The record is from the annotation of a GenBank genome assembly.
UCCAAUUUUAUACUAAUAUAUUUAGCGUUUUUGUUGUGGUACGUUAAAUGAUAGAUUGCGCAUGCGUAACCGAUUAAAGCGUAAAAAUUGCGCAUGUGCAACAAGCUUUUACAUCCCAUAAGCAAUGAAGCAAAUGUUUUAGCUUAAAUACGCUGAUUCCAAGUAGGGCAUGUUUGUCCAUUUUUAAAUGGGAGCGAAACUAUGCUAUUACAAACUAAUAGCAUGGCUUUUCGGGAGAUUAGUGAUUAAAUGACCCCUUACCCUCGGCAGGUUUGCGGAAUUUCCUCGGGCUUCGCCCUCGGGAAUUCCGCAAACCUGCCUCGGGUUACGGGGCCAUUUAAUCACUAAUCUCCCUCAAGCCAUGCUAUUACUUAUAAUAAUAUCAUGAUCGCCUCGUUUUCUAUUGUUCUCAUAGGGAAUUUAAAUCCCGUAUUUUCCUCAUUACGCAUGCAACAGGGAAUAUUUCGCUUUGUCUACUAAAUUUCCCCUGCAAAUUUAGUAAAAAACAAAAGAUUUCUUUGUCUACUAAUCUUCCCUCAUCAAAAAUGCACGGGAUGAUUAGUAGACAAAGAAAUCCUUUGUCUUUUACUAAAUUUCCCGCUUCCAUAUUUAAUGCAAACGGAAAACCUAAAACACUCAACAAUUUUAUUCAACAUAUUAAAUUAUAAAUGUACACAAGUAUGACUUUGCUAAACAAUUAAACGUCAAACUCUAACUCAAGACCAACUGUAAAAUUCAUGCUAUCAACGUC